UGGUGGCUUGAAUUUCCAACACUACAUUGUGACCCGCGUACGCAAAAGCCAUUGCACCCAGUCCAUUAAAGAAGCUUAAUACUGUCCCCGCUUGGGUAGUUUCUUUGUAUCCUAUGCUGUAAUCGAUGUCUGGUUGAACACCCCUGUCCACUGAAGCCACCCAUGCGAUUUACCUGAUGGACAUAACUGCUGCAGCCAAAGAGAUAAUGGUGAUGGAAUUGAAGUUGGGGCAAUGAGAAAGUAAAAAGUGGACAGAAGCGAAGAUCAUGAUCCAGUAAGUGAGCCGAAG
RNAcentral lists this long non-coding RNA (289 nucleotides) under Helianthus annuus (common sunflower). Its description in RNAcentral is "hypothetical non coding rna". The record is from RNAcentral. Lineage: Eukaryota; Viridiplantae; Streptophyta; Magnoliopsida; Asterales; Asteraceae.